GGCAUGCUUUACACAUGCAAGUCGAACGGCUGCGCGGGGCAACCUGGCGGCGAGUGGCGAACGGGUGAGUAAUAUAUCGGAACGUACCCAGAAGUGGGGGAUAACGUAGCGAAAGUUACGCUAAUACCGCAUACGAUCUACGGAUGAAAGUGGGGGAUCGCAAGACCUCAUGCUUUUGGAGCGGCCGAUAUCUGAUUAGCUAGUUGGUGAGGUAAAGGCUCACCAAGGCGACGAUCAGUAGCUGGUCUGAGAGGACGACCAGCCACACUGGGACUGAGACACGGCCCAGACUCCUACGGGAGGCAGCAGUGGGGAAUUUUGGACAAUGGGCGCAAGCCUGAUCCAGCAAUGCCGCGUGAGUGAAGAAGGCCUUCGGGUUGUAAAGCUCUUUUGUCAGGGAAGAAACGGGCCUGGUUAAUACCUGGGCCUAAUGACGGUACCUGAAGAAUAAGCACCGGCUAACUACGUGCCAGCAGCCGCGGUAAUACGUAGGGUGCAAGCGUUAAUCGGAAUUACUGGGCGUAAAGCGUGCGCAGGCGGUUUUGUAAGUCUGACGUGAAAUCCCCGGGCUUAACCUGGGA
RNAcentral lists this ribosomal RNA (581 nucleotides) under uncultured bacterium. Its description in RNAcentral is "bacterial SSU rRNA". It matches the Rfam family "Bacterial small subunit ribosomal RNA", at positions 41 to 619 of the family's 1533-position model. The record is from RNAcentral.